RNAcentral lists this long non-coding RNA (5651 nucleotides) under Manihot esculenta (cassava). RNAcentral describes it as "long non-coding RNA (MESC_LNC009250)". The record is from RNAcentral. Lineage: Eukaryota; Viridiplantae; Streptophyta; Magnoliopsida; Malpighiales; Euphorbiaceae.
AUUUCUUUCUCCCUACCCUCUCCCUUCUGCCUCAAGCUUCCAUCUUCAACCAUAUUCUUCUUCAAUAUUUUCUUCUUCAUACUCACGUAAGACAACCAUCACAAAAGAGACAACCCGCAAAAAGGUCAACCCUCACGAAGAAAACUACUGCUCGUUGCCACUUCUUGUUGCUGCUCGCCACCACUCUUCUGUGCUGCUGACUUGUCCUUGCGAUGAAUGGUUGCUGCUGGAUAGUCCACCAUCUCUCCGAUAAACCUUGAUAUGGAGCAGUUAGCCUUGGACUUUACGGCAGACUUGGACCGGGCCUAACUUUUACUGCCGACAUUCGAUAGAAACCCACGAUAGCUUUUCGAAAAGGAAAUUUCGAGACGCACGACUUUCAAAAAUGUGACAAGGGCCAUAGGCCUGUCACAAAGUUCGGCAUGAAAAUUCCAUCGUUUAGGGGGUCAAUUUUGCAAUUUAAUUAUUUUUUUAGAUAUUUUGGAUAUUUUCAUAAUUUUACAUAUUAGGGUUUUUUUUCUAUUAUAAAUAGCCUCCCUUGACUAUUAGAAACCUACUUUUCAAUCUUUGAGGAAUUUCAAUAAGACUUUUGGUCUUUUAUCCUAUCUUUUCUCUUAUUUCGUCUUAGCCAAACGAUAUUGGUUGAAACUCCUGACAGAGUCUAAAUAGUCCUUUAUCAGAUUGGUAUCAGAGCAAAGUUCGGCCAUGGCAGAUAACCAAGAGGCGCGACUUGCUGCGAUUGAGGCAUCCUUGGCAGAAUUGAGGGAGAUGAUCGGACAGCUAACCCUGCAGCAGGAAAUCCACCAACCCGCCGCCGCCGCACAUCCCCAUGUGGCCGCCAAUCCUGUGGCCGCCAUUCCUGUGGCCGCCAAUCCUGUGAUCGUCAAUCCUAUGCCUGCAAAUCUCCAACAGAACUAUCAGGAAGGUUACAGGAUCAAGGUAGACCUUCAAAACUUUUUUGGUUCGUUAGAUGUUGAAUCUGUUCUUAAUUGGCUGGCAGAGGUUGAAUGCUUCUUUGAAAUUAUGAACGUGGAAGAGGAGCGCAAGGUUCCAAUUGUGGCCUAUAAGUUGAAAGGGGGUGCAGCAGCCUGGUGGAAUUCGAUUCAAAACGAACGCUAUCGGAAGAGGCUGGAGCCCAUAUGAAACUGGGUGCUGAUGAAGCAGAUGUUUGAACAACGGUUCUUGCCUAGCGAUCACGCUCAGGUCUUAUAUAACUGGUAUCAUAACUGUGUACAAGGGAACCGAAGGGUGGAUGAGUAUACCGAGGAGUUUUUAAGGCUGCAGGCGAGAUGUGAAAACUGUGAGAAUGAGGCACAACAGGUUGCUCAUUAUCAGAGGGGGCUCAAUCACGAAAUUCGUUGUAUGAUGGGAGUAGCAGCGAUUUUCACCUUGGCAGAUGCUAUUGAGAUGGCAAAAAGGGCAGAAGAGCGUGUUGAUUGGCAGCCACAACAGCAGCAGUACAACUGGAAUUUCAAUUACAGAAAUUCUGAUUCAACAGGGACGCAGCAAUAUAGAGGCAACUACAGCGGGCAGCUUUCUAAGGUUAUAAACUCUGGCAACCCUCCGAAUACCAUAGAAGAAAGGAGAGACAGUAAGGGCAAGGCAGUCACUACUACAAUAGACAAAGGAGGCAGGACCAAUCCUUAUCAGAAGCCAACGGGAGACAUAUGUUACCGGUGCAGGCAAUCUGGUCAACGAUCAAAUAAUUGUCCAGAACGUAGAGGAGUUAAUACUGACCGCCGGCAGGUUAAUAUAGUUGAGCAGGUGGCUGAAACUAACGAGGAAGAGGAUGACGAUGACGGAUCUAUUGCUGGUUCUGAAGAUGGAGAGGUCACCUAUGUGGUGAAAAAGAUCUUAUGCUCAACAAAACAAGAGGACGAGACACAAAGGAGGAAGAUUUUCCAGGCAAAGUGUCGAGUAGGAGAGGCAAUUUGCAGGCUAAUUAUAGGUAGCUGCAGUUGUGAGAAUCUGAUAGCUAAGCAGUUGGUGGAAAAAUUACAGUUGCCUACACAGCCUCACCCCUCACCAUACAAAGUCGAAUGGAUUAAGGAAUGACCGACAAUUGAGGUCAACAGAAUCUGCAGCGUGCCUAUCUCGAUCGGUAAAUCUUAUACUGAACCUGUUAAUUGUGAUGUUGUGGAUAUGGAUUGCUAUGGCAUUUUGCUAGGUCGUCCGUGGCAAUUCGACGUUGAUGCAUUGCAUAAAGGGAAGGAGAAUUCAUACAUAUUCACGUGGAAUCAAAAGAAGAUUACUAUCUUGCCUUCUGGUUCUGCGAAACAUUCUAAGGUGGAAGGGAAUUAUACUGUUGCUGUUUCUAUGGGAGUGCAGAAGCUAUCAGGCGCAGUUGAGAAAUCUGGAGGCACACUAACUUUAUUGAUGAGAGCAAAAGGUACAAUGGAGGAUGCACCAUCUUUACCACCACCCGUCAAAGAGUUGUUGAAUGAGUUUCCUAAAAUAGUGGAGGAAUCAUCCAAGCUUCCACCCCUGCGGGAUAUCCAACAUCAGAUUGAUCUCAUUCCUGGAUCAAAAUUAUCGAAUCUGCCUCAUUACAAAAUGAGUCCAAAGGAGAGUGAAAUCCUCCAAGAACAGGUGGAAGAAUUACUGAAAAAGGGGCAUAUUCGGGAGAGCAUUAACCCCUGCGGAGUACCUGCCCUAUUAGUUCCAAAGAAAGAUAGGACUUGGAGAAUGUGCGUGGAUAGCAUGGCCAUCAACAAAAUUACAGUUCAAUAUCGAUUUCCUAUCCCACGAUUGGAUGACAUGCUAGAUCAGCUAUCCAGGGCUAAAGUCUUUUUUAAAAUCGACCUCAAAAGUGGCUAUCACCAAGUUCGGAUUAAGGAGGGAGAUGAAUGGAAGACUGCCUUCAAGACUAAGGAAGGCUUGUAUGAGUGACUGGUUAUGCCCUUUGGUUUAACAAAUGCACUUAGCACUUUUAUGUGACUCAUGAACUAGGUUUUGCGUCCUUUUUUGCGCAAAUUUGUGGUUGUUUAUUUUGAUGACAUUUUGAUAUUUAGUCGCAGUGAGGAAGAACAUUUGCAGCAUCUUCGUCAAGUCAUGAUGGCCCUACAAGAAAGUGAGCUGAUUAUUAAUCUUAAGAAGUGCAUCUAUAUGACGAAGCGCGUUCUGUUCCUGGGAUUUGUUGUUAGUGCAGAAGGGAUACAUAUUGAUAAGACGAUGGUAGAAGUAAUACGGAAUUGGCCCAUCCCCAAAACUAUUUUUGAAGUUCGCAACUUUCAUGGCCUUGCUAUACGGUUUAUCAGAAAUUUUAGCAGCAUCGUUGCCCCUAUCACAGAUUGCUUGAAGAAAGAGAGAGUGCAGAAAUUUGCAUGGACUGAAGCUGCCAACAAGAGCUUUGAAGAGAUUAAAGAUAAGCUUACUUUUGCCCCUAUUCUUGCUCUACCUGAUUUUGAUAAACUGUUUGAGAUUGAAUGUGAUGCUUGUGGAGUUGGGAUUGGAGGAGUAUUGUCACAGUCUAAAAGGCCUAUUGCCUUCUUUAGUGAGAAACUAAAUGAAGCUAGAAAGAAGUGGUCUACUUAUAAGCAGGAACUAUAUGCAGUAUUCCGGGCUUUUAAAACUUGGGAGCAGUAUUUGAUGGGAUGAGAAUUUAUUAUUCACACAGAUCAUCAGUCUCUGAUCCAUUUUAAAACUCAAAAACAUGUGAAUAAGAUGCAUGCCCGAUGGGCAGCUUACUUUGGAGCCUUUCAUUAUGUCAUCAAAUAUAAGGCUGGCCAUAGUAAUAAGGUGGCAGAUGCUUUGAGUAGAAGGGCUGCUCUAUUAAUUACAGUUAAUUAGGAGGUUGUAGGUUUUGAAUUCCUGAAGGAUUUGUAUGCUACAGAUAAUGAUUUUGCUAAUAUAUGGGCUAGAGUCCAGACUCACCAGCCUACUGAUGGAUUCUUAAUACAUGAUGACUUUCUUUUUAAGGAGAACAGGUUAUGCAUCCCUCGAUCUUCCUUGCGGGAAAAGUUGAUUCGCGAGAUCCAUGGAGGAGGUUUGAGUGGUCAUUUGGGGCGUGACAAGACUAUUGCUGGGUUGGAGGAGCAUUUUUACUGGCCUCAAUUAAAAAAGGAUACCGGUCGGAUGGUUCAAAAGUACCCAGUGUGUCAAACUCAGAAGGGACAUUCGCAGAAUACAGGCUUAUACACUCCACUGCCUAUUCCAGCCCAUCCUUGGGAGGACUUGUCUAUGGAUUUUAUUCUUGGUCUUCCGCGUACUCAACGUGGAUCUGAUUCCAUUUUUGUUGUUGUUGACAGGUUCUCUAAAAUGGUGCAUUUCAUUCCCUAUAAGAAAACUAAUGAUGCUUCUCAUGUAGCAAAACUAUUUUUCCAGGAGAUUGUUCGCUUACAUGGUGUCCCCAAGACCAUUACUUCUGACAGAGAUGUGAAGUUUCUAGCUCACUUCUGAGUGACUUUAUGAAAACGUUUUGGGACUGAACUUCGAUACAGCGGUGCUGCCCAUCCCCAAACUGAUGGACAAACUGAAGUCGUGAACCGAACGCUUGGCAAUCUUCUACGCUGCAUCUGCAGUAACAAGAAAACUGCUUGGGAUCUUGCUAUUGCUCAAGCAGAAUUUGCUUACAACAGUGCGAUUCACAGCUCCACAAAAAUGUCACCGUUUGCUAUUGUGUACAGGAAAGUCCCAGCGCAUACAGUUGAUCUUAUCGUACUUUCCACAGGUUAUCACAACAGUCUUGCAACAAGCAACCUGGCAAAGCAGCACGUGGAUAUUUUCAAGCAAGUACAACAAUGCCUUACGGAAGCCAAUGAUAAAUACAAAGCUACAGCUGAUAAACAUAGGCGUUUCAAAUCCUUCACUGUCGGUGAUCAAGUUAUGGUGUAUUUACGCAAGGAGCGUGGUGGAGGACAGAAAAAGCUGAACGCCAAGAAGAUUGGUCCAUUCUGAAUCAUUCAGAAGAUUAAUGACAAUGCCUAUGUUCUUGACCUCUCACAUGAGAUGAAAAUUUCCAAGAUGUUUAACAUGGUGGAUCUAUUUCAGUACUAUCCUGCUGAAGACAACUCGAGGUCGAGUUCUUUACAAGUAGAAGGGAAUGAUAUGGAGCAGUUAGCCUUGGACUUUAUGGUAGACUUAGACCGGGUCUAACUUUUGCUGCCGACAUUCGAUAAAGACCCACGAUAGCUUUUCGGAAAGGGAAUUUCGAGACGCACGACUUUAAAAAAUGUGACAAGGCACAAAGUUCAACAUGGAAAUUCCAUCGUUUAGGGGGUCAAUUUUGCAGUUUAAUUAUUUUUUUAGAUAUUUUGGGUAUUUUUAUAAUUUUGCAUAUUAGGGUUUUAUUUCUAUUAUAAAUAGCCUCCUUUGGCUAUUAGAAACCUACUUUUCAAUUUUUGAGGAAUUUCAAUAAGAUUUUUAGUUUUUUAUCAUAUCUUUUCUCUUAUUUCGUCUUAGCCAAACGAUAUUGAUUAAAAUUUCUGAGGGAGUCUAAAUAGUCAUUUAUUAAACCUUCAACAAACAAAACGUUGCUCUCCCUUCGACAAGUCCUUGCAGACAGACCACAAGUUUCCACGGUGGCUUCAUAUGAAGCAACAUCAUGCAACUUUGUAAUUGAUUUUGUGUUUAUGUUUAUAUCUACGUAAAUAAUUUGAUUUUGAGAGAAUUUCUUGAUCUAUGCAGCCACUACUUCAGUAAGUGAUUUGGGU